Small nucleolar RNA from Tachyglossus aculeatus (Australian echidna), 138 nucleotides. Lineage: Eukaryota; Metazoa; Chordata; Mammalia; Monotremata; Tachyglossidae. The record is from RefSeq and is a predicted model, not a curated record.
CCCCUCUCAGGAUCAGACCUGGAGAGUUUCCAGUACUCUACCACGCUCUGCUAAGGGAGGGAGAGUCAAGCAGAGGCAUACCCAUUCCAUUCCUAGCUUGGGCAAUGGCUAGCGAGUAGAAGGCAAUCUGCUACAAGU